CACUCCUACGGGAGGCAGCAGUGGGGAAUAUUGCACAAUGGGCGCAAGCCUGAUGCAGCCAUGCCGCGUGUAUGAAGAAGGCCUUCGGGUUGUAAGGUACUUUCAGCGGGGAGGAAGGCGAUAAGGUUAAUAACCUUGUUGAUUGACGUUACCCGCAGAAGAAGCACCGGCUAACUCCGUGCCAGCAGCCGCGGUAAUACGGAGGGUGCAAGCGUUAAUCGGAAUUACUGGGCGUAAAGCGCACGCAGGCGGUCUGUCAAGUCGGAUGCGAAAUCCCCGGGCUCAACCUGGGAACUGCAUUCGAAACUGGCAGGCUAGAGUCUUGUAGAGGGGGGUAGAAUUCCAGGUGUAGCGGUGAAAUGCGUAGAGAUCUGGGGGAAUACCGGUGGCGAAGGCGGCCCCCUGGACAAAGACUGACGCUCAGGUGCGAAAGCGUGGGGAGCAAACAGGAUUAGAUACCCCGGUAGUCCCAU
Molecule: ribosomal RNA, 473 nt
Filed under: uncultured organism
Description: partial 16S ribosomal RNA
Rfam family: Bacterial small subunit ribosomal RNA
Source: RNAcentral